Molecule: ribosomal RNA, 425 nt
Filed under: uncultured bacterium
Lineage: Bacteria
Description: bacterial SSU rRNA
Rfam family: Bacterial small subunit ribosomal RNA
Source: RNAcentral
GGGGAAUUUUGGACAAUGGGCGAAAGCCUGAUCCAGCCAUGCCGCGUGAGUGAAGAAGGCCUUCGGGUUGUAAAGCUCUUUUGUCCGGGAGGAAAUCCUGGCCUCUAAUACAGGUCGGGGAUGACAGUACUGGAAGAAUAAGCACCGGCUAACUACGUGCCAGCAGCCGCGGUAAUACGUAGGGUGCAAGCGUUAAUCGGAAUUACUGGGCGUAAAGCGUGCGCAGGCGGUUUUGUAAGCCAGAUGUGAAAUCCCCGAGCUUAACUUGGGAACUGCGUUUGGAACUACAAGACUAGAGUGUGUCAGAGGGGGGUAGAAUUCCACGUGUAGCAGUGAAAUGCGUAGAGAUGUGGAGGAAUACCGAUGGCGAAGGCAGCCCCCUGGGAUAACACUGACGCUCAUGCACGAAAGCGUGGGGAGCAAAC